CCUGAUGUUAGCGGCGGACGGGUGAGUAACACGUGGGUAACCUGCCUGUAAGACUGGGAUAACUCCGGGAAACCGGGGCUAAUACCGGAUGGUUGUUUGAACCGCAUGGUUCAAACAUAAAAGGUGGCUUCGGCUACCACUUACAGAUGGACCCGCGGCGCAUUAGCUAGUUGGUGAGGUAACGGCUCACCAAGGCAACGAUGCGUAGCCGACCUGAGAGGGUGAUCGGCCACACUGGGACUGAGACACGGCCCAGACUCCUACGGGAGGCAGCAGUAGGGAAUCUUCCGCAAUGGACGAAAGUCUGACGGAGCAACGCCGCGUGAGUGAUGAAGGUUUUCGGAUCGUAAAGCUCUGUUGUUAGGGAAGAACAAGUACCGUUCGAAUAGGGCGGUACCUUGACGGUACCUAACCAGAAAGCCACGGCUAACUACGUGCCAGCAGCCGCGGUAAUACGUAGGUGGCAAGCGUUGUCCGGAAUUAUUGGGCGUAAAGGGCUCGCAGGCGGUUUCUUAAGUCUGAUGUGAAAGCCCCCGGCUCAACCGGGGAGGGUCAUUGGAAACUGGGGAACUUGAGUGCAGAAGAGGAGAGUGGAAUUCCACGUGUAGCGGUGAAAUGCGUAGAGAUGUGGAGGAACACCAGUGGCGAAGGCGACUCUCUGGUCUGUAACUGACGCUAAGGAGCGAAAGCGUGGGGAGCGAACAGGAUUAGAUACCCUGGUAGUCCACGCCGUAACGAUGAGUGCUAAGUGUUAGGGGGUUUCCGCCCCUUAGUGCUGCAGCUAACGCAUUAAGCACUCCGCCCGGGGAGUACGGUCGCAAGACUGAAACUCAAGGAAUUGACGGGGCCCGCACAAGCGGUGGAGCAGUGGUUUAAUUCGAAGCAACGCGAAAACCUUA
RNAcentral lists this ribosomal RNA (899 nucleotides) under Bacillus subtilis. RNAcentral's name for it is "bacterial SSU rRNA". It matches the Rfam family "Bacterial small subunit ribosomal RNA", at positions 85 to 973 of the family's 1533-position model. The record is from RNAcentral. Lineage: Bacteria; Bacillati; Bacillota; Bacilli; Caryophanales; Bacillaceae.